RNAcentral lists this ribosomal RNA (436 nucleotides) under uncultured bacterium. RNAcentral describes it as "bacterial SSU rRNA". It matches the Rfam family "Bacterial small subunit ribosomal RNA", at positions 8 to 456 of the family's 1533-position model. The record is from RNAcentral.
AGAGUUUGAUCCUGGCUCAGAAUGAACGUUGGCGGCGUGGAUUAGGCAUGCAAGUCGUACGGGCCGCAAGGCCAGUGGCGCAAGGGUGAGUAAGGCGACGGUAACCAACCCCGUGAUUGGGUAUAGCCGCGGGAAACUGCGGGUAAUCCCCAGCGACGUCCGGAAGGGGCAUCCCUUUCGGACCAAAGCUCCGGCGUCGUGGGACGGGCUGUCGUGGUAUUAGCUUGUUGGCGGGGUAACGGCCCACCAAGGCUCUGAUGCCUACCGGGCGUGCGAGCGUGACCCCCCACACUGGUACUGAGACACGGACCAGACUCCUACGGGAGGCAGCAGUAAGGAAUAUUGGUCAAUGGGCGCAAGCCUGAACCAGUCAUGCCGCGUGCAGGAAGACGGCCCUACUGGUUGUAAACUGCUUUUAUACCGGAAUAAACCUCUU